Molecule: ribosomal RNA, 254 nt
Filed under: uncultured Pseudomonas sp.
Lineage: Bacteria; Pseudomonadati; Pseudomonadota; Gammaproteobacteria; Pseudomonadales; Pseudomonadaceae
Description: partial 16S ribosomal RNA
Rfam family: Bacterial small subunit ribosomal RNA
Source: RNAcentral
CGGACGGGUGAGUAAUGCCUAGGAAUCUGCCUGGUAGUGGGGGACAACGUUUCGAAAGGAACGCUAAUACCGCAUACGUCCUACGGGAGAAGGCAGGGGACCUUCGGGCCUUGCGCUAUCAGAUGAGCCUAGGUCGGAUUAGCUAGUUGGUGAGGUAAUGGCUCACCAAGGCGACGAUCCGUAACUGGUCUGAGAGGAUGAUCAGUCACACUGGAACUGAGACACGGUCCAGACUCCUACGGGAGGCAGCAGGG